CUGAGCUCGCCCGUCAGGGCAGGGCCAUUUUCAAAUACCAAACUCCCGACAAAUCUGAAGCAUCAGCCUCGGUUGCAGAGAACUCGCAUCGUCUGGACGGGAUGCGUUUGCAGAAAUCCUGUGAAAGGACGAGACGUGACCCGACCCAGGGAACUGAGAGGGCUUGAAACAACAACCGGAUUAUGAUCCUCCAAUCGGUCUACUGUUGGAGUCUAUUGUUACUCUGCAGCCACAGUCUAGAGAUAGAUCUACACAAGAAGACCUGGACAGAGUUGCUUUACAAUGUAAGGAUGCCUAUGACUUACGGAUUUAGGAAAUCGAUAUUAACUAAAGAGAAAUAGCCAUGAUAUUAUUUAGAUUUUAAAAGGAUGUUGCUUUCAUCAAAAGAGCAAUUAAACUUACUGGAGAUAGUAAGGUAAACUAACAGCCACAUUGCCG
Long non-coding RNA from Hypanus sabinus (Atlantic stingray), 438 nucleotides. RefSeq lists it as uncharacterized. NCBI's taxonomy places the organism in Eukaryota, Metazoa, Chordata, Chondrichthyes, Myliobatiformes, Dasyatidae. The record is from RefSeq and is a predicted model, not a curated record. The transcript is spliced from 4 exons.